GCCAGAUCUAGGUUUUACAAAUUAUACUGUGCUGCAAGUUGUGAUAGGAUAGUAUUAAAGCACAUGAUGCGUAAGUAUAUCAGAAUACGGUUUUAAGAAUGAGUCAAAAUCAAAAUAUCAAUAACAUAAAAUAUAGCGAACAUCUCUGUGAAACACUAUAUUGCCCCUAUAUGUUACAUUUGGGAAUAUUACACCAUUUAUUGAUGUCUUAAUUUAUAGUGUAGAGUAGUGGUUGCAAUGUUCCUUUAUAGUAUAGAGUAGUGGUUAGUAGCAGAAUGAAAGAAAUUGUAAGUUGGCC
Non-coding RNA from Pelobates cultripes (western spadefoot toad), 298 nucleotides. The record is from the annotation of a GenBank genome assembly. Lineage: Eukaryota; Metazoa; Chordata; Amphibia; Anura; Pelobatidae.